Daphnia pulex (common water flea) is the source of this 2377-nucleotide RNA transcript. RefSeq lists it as uncharacterized. NCBI's taxonomy places the organism in Eukaryota, Metazoa, Arthropoda, Branchiopoda, Diplostraca, Daphniidae. The record is from RefSeq and is a predicted model, not a curated record. The transcript has 10 exons.
AAUCGUCAGAUUUUAUCUGGACGUGGCAACGCUGCGAGAGGAGUAAGGGAUUUGGGAACGAAAGGCGGAGCUCCUUUAAGAGAUUUUUCAGAAGAACCGCUCGUACCUCGCUUAAUAUUGUGUCACAUGUUAUUUGCUGUUUGGUGUAACCGUUCCUUUCGGCUUUUAAUAGAGUGGGAGUCUUUUGCCUUGGAGAGUUUUUUCGUCUCGUGAUACGCUAUUUCGCUGGUUGUACGUUUCAUUGUAUGCUGAAACAAUUUGUUAAAUAGGUUUACCAUCUUGGCGGAGUUUGAACCACUGCAUUGCUGUAUGAUGUCCAACAGUUGAGCUGAAUGGUUGAUGGUGAAGUCAACUUCAGUCUGCAGUGUGCGUUCAAUCCCUGGCCGUAGUGGCGAAUUAUUUAACUGAUGCCUUAGUGCUGAUCCAUGUCCAAAGAUUUCUACUUGUGGUAAUCUACUUGGCUACCUGUACUGGCUGUAUGUCUCAUUCUAUGCUGAAACAAACGUCGUAGGGAAGAUCAACAGAGCGCUGGCCGAAGCGGGAAUAACUGAACGUACAUUCAGUCGAUUGCAUGCCGUCUCGGUCGGAAAAUCCAACGCCACCCGCGAAAUAUAAGCUGGAACGCAUCCGCAAUUUCUUCAAACGCGUCGAAAUUCUUUAUGACGACGGCAGUGACACGGCUCGUACCGACACGGCGGUACCAUCGUAAUUAUAAAAUCUGGCUGGACUAAUAUUUGGAGAAACACUACACCUGCAACAGUGGCAACUCGACCGAAGCCUCCUCGUCUUUAUCGUCCAGUAACGCCACACUUGGAUAUCAUUCGAUUAAUUACGGUAUAGAAUAUGGAAAACAUGGACUCGAAAGAAGAUGCAAAUAAAGACAGGAACUUUCCUUUUAACAUGCCGGUAACCAUCAUGUCACUCACAAUAGUCAUGGAAGCGUUCGGUUCAUUGAUAAAGGUAAUUUACGAUUUGUGUGCGGCAGACUAACUUAAUCUGCAUGUAUCGUUAAUUGUACCUACGCCACUUGCUUGUCGUUGCAAAUUGUCAAUGCGUUUUUUAUAGUUUGUAUCAAUAUCGAUGAGCGUGUGAACUUGUAUAAAUUUAAGGUGUUAGCAUAUUAAAUCUUCCUUGUGGAACAGUUUCAGUUUUGAUUGCUAUGAUGGAUUGGAAUGGGCAAUGGUAUGUUGAGAACACAACCUUUAUCAAUUAAUUUGUCUUUAAGGUUCAAAUGUUCUUUUUCUCAUUCUUACUAGUUGUAGUUUUCCCUUGAUCUGAAAUUGUUUUUUAGUAAAAUUAAUUGUCUAACAUUUUCGCUUAAAUAGAUCAAUAACUGAAUAACACUUCGUUAUUUGUCUCUUGGGUUGAUUAUAGGAUAAAUAUCUUUGAUUAUAAGUAAGGUUUAUCUUUGAUUAUAAGUAAGGUUUAAAUAAACCGUACGUUUUGUUAGCAAUUAUUUUUUAUUGGCCAUCUAGUAGAGGAAUUUUGGACUGCUCUAUCGAAUCCCAAUCGCUUCUUGUCGUCAGUCGCGUUCUUGGCGUUUGGUCAGUUUUGCCGUUUUGGCAUGCUUUUGCCUUUUGGUGGAUGCUGGAUGUUAAGAUUUGUGGAUGAUUGGAAAUUGGAUGGAUUGGAUUUGUUGGUUGGUAAUGAAGAAAACAAUCUUGAGACUACUUUUAUCUUCUUAUAAGUAUGCAAUAUAAUAUUUGUUUUUAAGACUGUAAAAUGGAAAGAACAUAAGAAUAACAUUAGGAAACUAAAACUGAUGGGUAGCUGCAACUAUAACCUUAAAUCACCAAUAACUGUGAUAGAAUGAAUGUUUUUCCGUCCACAUGCACUGCUUCAUAAAGUUGAGCAAUGAGAUUUAUCAUUACUAGAGGAAAUAAAUAUAAAAUGCAUACAUCAUGCAUGAAAAAUAUUUCGAAACAGGAUGUUGAAUUGGCUAACUUUUGAAAGGAUUUAUAAGGAAUGCUGCAAAUACUUCAAUUGUAUUCCGUCUGAAGAGGUCUGAAUGCCAUCUCAGGUUUACGAAUCCUGCAAUUGAAUGACAAUCAACAGGCAAUGAGACAGCAGUUAGGCCACAACAUCUCCAACCAUUUGUGCGACCACUGAGUCAAGUGACAGCAUUAAGACCAGACGUAAAAUGAUUUGACCUCCCGUAAAUGUUCACUUAUUUUUACUACGUAGGGCUUUUUCAGCCGCAACGUUGGUGGAAGAAUAACGCUGGACAGAUCAAGCCGAACUAGCCACACGGGGAAAACAUCAAACGAAGAAAAAACAAAACAUAUUGUUGGAAAAUGUCUAGUGACUGUAUUCUAGGUAAUUGUAUUUGUGCAAAUUGUUAAGCUAAUAAACUAUCUUUAUCUUUUGUGAUAACGAA